CACCGGCAAGCCGAUCGCGGUGUCGGGCCGGGUGCUGGUGCCGACCGCGGCGUGGAAAGGGGCGGGGGAGCGCCCGAUCGUGUCGGUCGCCAGUGGC
Molecule: transfer RNA, 97 nt
Filed under: Amycolatopsis sp. YIM 10
Lineage: Bacteria; Bacillati; Actinomycetota; Actinomycetes; Pseudonocardiales; Pseudonocardiaceae
Description: tRNA-Thr
Source: RNAcentral